UGGUCUGUGUGCAUUUAUAACACAAAAAUCCCCAAGAAGCACAAGAAAAUGUCUUUUAGAUAGCUGCCCACUGUAGUGACCGCUAUGCAUGAAAGGGUUAAGAACAUUGAUCCAUUCAUUGUCUGUACCUGCUUGUCCUUGCAGGGUUGCGGAGGGGUCUGAUAACGGGGCGAGAGGCUGAAUACACCCUGGGGAGGUCGCCAGUCCAUCACAGGGUUCAGGUUUUCCAAUCCAAAAUCCGGGACUCAACAGAACUCCACCUCGACGUUACUUCCUCCACCCGUUGGCCCGUCGUUCCGACACUCGCUAUAAUCAGCAAGAACUUCUGAAGACGAGCCUGUGCCUUCCAUAAUUACGUCUAAUUAAUUCAGCGCAGCACAUGCGGACUCUAAUCAAGUUGCAGAAGCAGUUCAAGGGCUACUGAUUGAUGAAGGAUUCAGCAGAGCGACUGAUGAGAAAAAAUAAUUUCCAGUCUUAUCAAACACAAAUGUGGACCGGAUGGUUUUAAAGUCAUUGGAUUUCCGACUCGUGAAAAAAUAAAUCGCACAUGGAGACGAA
This is a long non-coding RNA of Poecilia latipinna (sailfin molly), 558 nucleotides long. RefSeq lists it as uncharacterized. NCBI's taxonomy places the organism in Eukaryota, Metazoa, Chordata, Actinopteri, Cyprinodontiformes, Poeciliidae. The record is from RefSeq and is a predicted model, not a curated record. The transcript has 2 exons.